Molecule: ribosomal RNA, 254 nt
Filed under: uncultured bacterium
Lineage: Bacteria
Description: partial 16S ribosomal RNA
Rfam family: Bacterial small subunit ribosomal RNA
Source: RNAcentral
UACGAAGGGGGCUAGCGUUGCUCGGAAUCACUGGGCGUAAAGCGCACGUAGGCGGCUUCUUAAGUCAGGGGUGAAAUCCUGGAGCUCAACUCCAGAACUGCCUUUGAUACUGGCAAGCUUGGAGUCCGGGAGAGGUGAGUGGAACUGCGAGUGUAGAGGUGAAAUUCGUAGAUAUUCGCAAGAACACCAGUGGCGAAGGCGGCUCACUGGCCCGGAACUGACGCUGAGGUGCGAAAGCGUGGGGAGCAAACAGG